Anopheles coluzzii is the source of this 1672-nucleotide long non-coding RNA. RefSeq lists it as uncharacterized. The transcript is spliced from 3 exons. The record is from RefSeq and is a predicted model, not a curated record. Lineage: Eukaryota; Metazoa; Arthropoda; Insecta; Diptera; Culicidae.
CGCGCCCCGUCGAUUCGAUGAGAUGCCUUACCACAUGAUAGUGAGGUCGGAUUUUGGAUCGGCGGCCGAUCUUGCUCAUGUGAGUUGAACUGCGUAUUGUUUAGUGAGGGCGCCUUGUGUGGCUGUGUGAUGUGUGCACAUGUGGAUAUGUAAUGAUUCGCGAGACAGCAUAAAGUGUUUUGUUUGUAAGAAAGGUGUUGUGUUGAAGUGAAAAUUAAUGCAGUUUCGUGUUCCGUUUUUGUGGCAAUGAAACAAUUAAUAAACAAUCAAAUGAUCUAUUUCACCAAUGCGAAAAUGUUUGCAGAGAUAUUCGUGUUAUCCCGAACGUAGGAACAUAACGACAAGCGGUAGGCAAAAAGCGUGCGUUGGCAAAGUGCAACAUCCCUAAAACCAGAUAAGUAUAACAAAUUAUUAUUAAAAAUAGUGCAAGUGUUACGAAAAAGGAAUUAUAGAAGGAUUAAAAAUUUAUGUUUUACAGUCAUAUUGUUUCAUACCGUUCCAAAUCAGAUAUUUGAAGAGAUAACACGACUGAAAAAGCAGAGCAAUUAUGGAAUGACGGCAUUCGCUUUCCCAAUUAAGCUACCCAUACAAUUAUAUUGUUGUGCAAGCAACUAUAAAGCAUAUGUUCUAGUGCAGAUUAUAACUUUCUUUACAUAAUUCAUAACAGACCCGGUAUGCUCACUCCGUUCGAUUAAUAACUUCAUGGCCUCUUCAUGGGGGUUCUAAAACGUGUACUAAAAGGAAAGCAGCUACAUGUAGAAAAGAUGUUCAUGUAACAUUCCAACGUUAUCACUUUAUGCUGGACAUUUCACGUAACAGUUAUUUCAAUAAAUAAUAAAAAUAGGAACUAGAUAGGGUAGCAUACUAUAGAUAGGAUAGAAAAUCGUAUUAAUUACUAAAACAGGCCUAGACUUACUACAGUUGUUCCACUAAAAUAGAAGACAAUAGGAUAAUAUAGCGAACUAGGAUAUUGUAGUGAGAGACCAAGUGACAUAAAUUUGGUUUUUAAUAUGAGGAAGAUUAUAGAGUUGAAGAAAGUUUGAAAUAGUUUAGGGCACAUGAAAUAGUAGCAAUUAAUAUGGGUUUGCCAUUUAUACUUAGACCGUGGAACAAUUUUACGAUUAAAUCAUGUUCUCAGCUUUGUCCAAAUUGCAAAACCAUGAACACGUUAUCGUUUCCUACAUGAAAUGCAUAUUGAAAGCAAUAAUAAGUAAUCAAACUCUAUAUUAAUUUUUUUUUAAUCGUAGAGCUUCAUUGUGCUCUGCGCAGAGCACAUAUGUGUUAAAAGAAAUCGGAUAUAAUCAAUGUAAAACCUACUAAAUGUUACCAUGUUGUCAAACGCACUUCAUUUGCCCAGACCCAGUUAAACCUAGUCUGGGACUAGGUCCCAGACCUAGUUAAAGAAUCACAUUUAAUACGAAGACUCGUCAUGAGCCGAUAGUUAUAAUAAUACACAUUAGUCUUAAUUAUACGCAAAGCAUAGCGAGCAAAAAACAUAACGGAAGCGAAUGCGAAACAGUCGAGCGGUUUAAGAAAUGCCGGCGUAAAACACAUUUUACUGAUAAUAAUAUUACACUACUAGGCUAAUAUACUAGGUUCACCACAUGUAUGUUUAACAUAAUUUUUAUACGUUUGACUACAUAAUAAAAUAUAUCAAAAUUUAUCAAAUUUA